This 61-nucleotide transfer RNA is filed under the name Heterocephalus glaber (naked mole-rat). It matches the Rfam family "tRNA", at positions 6 to 65 of the family's 71-position model. Rfam says of the family: Transfer RNA (tRNA) molecules are approximately 80 nucleotides in length. Lineage: Eukaryota; Metazoa; Chordata; Mammalia; Rodentia; Bathyergidae. The record is from Rfam by way of RNAcentral.
UGUAGCUCAGUGGUAAAGCAUUUGCCUAACAUGCAUGAGGCCCUGGGUUCAAUCCCCAGUA